Molecule: long non-coding RNA, 650 nt
Filed under: Prunus dulcis (almond)
Lineage: Eukaryota; Viridiplantae; Streptophyta; Magnoliopsida; Rosales; Rosaceae
Description: sRNA ncRNA
Source: RNAcentral
AUUUAAAGUAUGGUGCGGCAUUAACGUCCAUACAGCAAUUUAAUUUGUGAAUUUACUUUACAGCAAAUUAACCUAUUUUAAAGGGUGGUGCGGGAUUAUCGUCCACGCCUUUACUGUCAUUUAAAGUAUGGUGCGGCAUUAACGUCCAUACAGCAAUUUAAUUUGUGAAUUUACUUUACAGCAAAUUAACCUACUUUAAAGGGUGGUGCGGGUUUAUCGUCCACGCCUUUACUGUUAUUUAAAUGUAUGGAGCAGAAUUAGUGCCCAUACAAGCACAUUUACUUUACCGCACAUUUAAAGUAUGGUGCGGGAUUAACGUCCAUACAAGUAAUUUAUUUAAACGGUAAAUUUAUUUUAUGGAUUAAUUGUGCUGUAUGAUGAGUUUUUACAGUAUACAGAUCAUGACCAGAAGUUCCUUGAUCCUCAUCAUACAUUUACAUUAGGACUUGAAGAUCCUUGAUGAUGAUAUUGAUAUGAGAGCUGGCAGUCUCUCCGGUACUAUAUUUGUAAACAUGUGAUCGGACUUAAGGGUCCUUGAUCCCUGACAUGUGAAUAAGGACCUGGGUUUCCUUAAUGAUGUAACAGUACCGUAUUGGUUAAAAGUGCCGUACACAUGAAUAAUAACUGUACUGGCAAAUGUACUGCACAUA